CAGCAGCCGCGGUAAUUCGUAGGGUGCAAGCGUUAAUCGGAAUUACUGGGCGUAAAGCGUACGCAGGCGGCUUUGCAAGACAGGUGUGAAAUCCCCGGGCCUAACCUGGGAACUGCAUUUGUGACUGCAUGGCUAGAGUCUGUCAGAGGGGGGUGGAAUUCCACGUGUAGCAGUGAAAUGCGUAGAGAUGUGGAAGAACACCGAUGGCGAAGGCAGCCCCUGGGCCUGUACUGACGCUCAUGCACGAAAGCGUGGGGAGCAAACAGGAUUAGAUACCCUGGUAGUCCACGCCCUAAACGAUGUCAACUGGUUGUUGGGAAGGUUCCUUCUCAGUAACGUAGCUAACGCGUGAAGUUGACCGCCUGGGGAGUACGGCCGCAAGGUUGAAACUUAAAGGAAUUGACGG
This 406-nucleotide ribosomal RNA is filed under the name uncultured bacterium. RNAcentral's name for it is "bacterial SSU rRNA". It matches the Rfam family "Bacterial small subunit ribosomal RNA", at positions 509 to 916 of the family's 1533-position model. The record is from RNAcentral.